This 340-nucleotide long non-coding RNA is filed under the name Mytilus galloprovincialis (Mediterranean mussel). Lineage: Eukaryota; Metazoa; Mollusca; Bivalvia; Mytilida; Mytilidae. The record is from RNAcentral.
AUUGUGGAUUUUUUGGAACAGAAACGUAUGUUGAAUAAAGGUACAUGUUUUCAAGCGUAUAUUUAUCAUGCACUUAAAUCACUACCGUUAAAUUAUAAAACCUAUUACAAAUUUAAACCUAAGCUUACUAGCUUUUGCAAAAAGAUUUUUUUUUAACAGCCAUGUACUUUAACAUUUUAGCCUUAUAUAAUCUUAUCCGUUUGGUUCAUCGCACUUUAGCGUGCUAUACCAUUGUACUUUAGCAAACAAACAACCAUCGCACUUUAGCGUGAGACACCAUCAUACUUUAGCGUAGACCAUCGCACUUUAGCGUGAACAUCGCACUUUAGAGUACCAUCGC